RNAcentral lists this ribosomal RNA (713 nucleotides) under uncultured Enterobacterales bacterium. RNAcentral's name for it is "bacterial SSU rRNA". It matches the Rfam family "Bacterial small subunit ribosomal RNA", at positions 60 to 762 of the family's 1533-position model. The record is from RNAcentral. Lineage: Bacteria; Pseudomonadati; Pseudomonadota; Gammaproteobacteria; Enterobacterales.
AGUCGAGCGGUAGCACAGGGGAGCUUGCUCCCUGGGUGACGAGCGGCGGACGGGUGAGUAAUGUCUGGGAAACUGCCUGAUGGAGGGGGAUAACUACUGGAAACGGUAGCUAAUACCGCAUAACGUCGCAAGACCAAAGAGGGGGACCUUCGGGCCUCUUGCCAUCAGAUGUGCCCAGAUGGGAUUAGCUAGUAGGUGGGGUAAUGGCUCACCUAGGCGACGAUCCCUAGCUGGUCUGAGAGGAUGACCAGCCACACUGGAACUGAGACACGGUCCAGACUCCUACGGGAGGCAGCAGUGGGGAAUAUUGCACAAUGGGCGCAAGCCUGAUGCAGCCAUGCCGCGUGUGUGAAGAAGGCCUUCGGGUUGUAAAGCACUUUCAGCGAGGAGGAAGGUGGUGAACUUAAUACGUUCAUCAAUUGACGUUACUCGCAGAAGAAGCACCGGCUAACUCCGUGCCAGCAGCCGCGGUAAUACGGAGGGUGCAAGCGUUAAUCGGAAUUACUGGGCGUAAAGCGCACGCAGGCGGUUUGUUAAGUCAGAUGUGAAAUCCCCGGGCUCAACCUGGGAACUGCAUUUGAAACUGGCAAGCUAGAGUCUCGUAGAGGGGGGUAGAAUUCCAGGUGUAGCGGUGAAAUGCGUAGAGAUCUGGAGGAAUACCGGUGGCGAAGGCGGCCCCCUGGACGAAGACUGACGCUCAGGUGCGAAAGCGU